This 518-nucleotide ribosomal RNA is filed under the name uncultured bacterium. Its description in RNAcentral is "bacterial SSU rRNA". It matches the Rfam family "Archaeal small subunit ribosomal RNA", at positions 345 to 866 of the family's 1478-position model. The record is from RNAcentral.
AACCUCCGCAAUGUGAGAAAUCGCGACGGGGGGAUCCCAAGUGCCAUUCUUAACGGGAUGGCUUUUCAUUAGUGUAAAGAGCUUUUGGAAUAAGAGCUGGGCAAGACCGGUGCCAGCCGCCGCGGUAACACCGGCAGCUCUAGUGGUAACAAUUUUUAUUGGGCCUAAAGCGUCCGUAGCCGGUUUAAUAAGUCUCUGGUGAAAUCCUGUAGCUUAACUGUGGGAAUUGCUGGAGAUACUAUUAGACUUGAGACCGGGAGAGGUUAGAGGUACUCCCAGGGUAGAGGUGAAAUUCUGUAAUCCUGGGAGGACCGCCUGUUGCGAAGGCGUCUAACUGGAACGGUUCUGACGGUGAGGGACGAAAGUUAGGGCGCGAACCGGAUUAGAUACCCGGGUAGUCCUAACUGUAAACGAUGCGGACUUGGUGUUGGGUGGCUUUGAGCUGCUCCAGUGCGAAGGGAAGCUGUUAAGUCCGCCGCCUGGGAAGUACGGUCGCAAGACUGAAACUUAAAGGAAUU